GUCAGGCUUGGUGGCGCACACCUGCAAUCCCAGUGGCUCCGGGGCUGAGGCAGGAGGAUCAUGAGUUUAGAGUCAGCCUCGGCAACUUAGUAAGGCCCUAAACAACUCAGUGAGACCCUGUCUCUA
This 126-nucleotide small RNA is filed under the name Marmota monax (woodchuck). The record is from RNAcentral. Lineage: Eukaryota; Metazoa; Chordata; Mammalia; Rodentia; Sciuridae.